RNAcentral lists this ribosomal RNA (373 nucleotides) under uncultured eukaryote. Its description in RNAcentral is "partial 18S ribosomal RNA". It matches the Rfam family "Eukaryotic small subunit ribosomal RNA", at positions 592 to 976 of the family's 1831-position model. The record is from RNAcentral.
CAAUAGCGUAUAUUAAAGUUGUUGCAGUUAAAAAGCUCGUAGCUGAAUUUUUGCUUGCCGCCGAUGUCGGAACUUCCGUACGUUCGGCGGCGUGCAUCCUUGGGUGGAACCUGUGUGGCAUUAGGUUGUCGUGCAGGGGAUGCUCAUCGUUUACUGUGAAAAAAUUAGAGUGUUCAAAGCAGGCUUACGCCGUUGAAUAUAUUAGCAUGGAAUAAUAAGAUAGGACCUUGGUACUAUUUUGUUGGUUUGCGCACCGAGGUAAUGAUUAACAGGGACAGUUGGGGGUAUUCGUAUUCCAUUGUCAGAGGUGAAAUUCUUGGAUUUCUGGAAGACGAACUACUGCGAAAGCAUUUACCAAGGAUGUUUUCAUUAA